Molecule: long non-coding RNA, 6072 nt
Filed under: Sorghum bicolor (sorghum)
Lineage: Eukaryota; Viridiplantae; Streptophyta; Magnoliopsida; Poales; Poaceae
Description: long non-coding RNA (SBIC_LNC000080)
Source: RNAcentral
CUAGUUUUCUUUGGAGUAUCUUAUUAUGUAUAUAGACAUAUUAUUAUAUAUAGAUACAUAGUAAAACAGAUAUACUAAAAAAAUAAAAACAACUUAUAAUUUGAAAUGGAGAGAGUAUUUGCGUGCAUGUGCAUUCGCUUCGCCAACUUUAGAUUGCAGAUCGAGAGGUUUCCCUGAUGCAUGGGCGCUGGCGCUAUCUCUCGUCCAUUUCAUCCAUUGGAGUGGAAUUUCGAUUGGAAAUGUCGCUUCGAUUUUCUUGUGUACUUCAUAUUUGUUUUGCUUGGGAUGUCACCAUCUCACGGAUCGGACAUCCCAAGAAGCUAAGACCAAUCCAUCCAUAGAGAUCGAAAAGGCACAACCUUCCUUGGCUGCUACUCUUUCAUCAACCUCUGUGCCUCGAUACCAGCUACAAGGAAACACAGGUGCUUAAAGAUGCUUCUUGCAAACAACAAUAGUUAUAGCUAGAAAGUCAAUAUGAUGUGCAAUGACUUUAAAAUAUACAUAUCCCUGAAGAUGCUUCUGCAUUUUUUAUACACUACAACCAAUAAUGCAAUACUGAAAUGUACAGAGUUUGACUCUUUCUCAAAAUAAAAAGACGUCUUGCAUUUUUCUAUUGAAGGAAUACCGUCCUAUAGUAUUUGUUCUCAGGCAGGACUGGACAAACCGUCUCACUUAAAAAGAAUCAUUAUAUUUUACAAAAAUCAGGUACUAUUAUACUAUAAGAACGAUGCAUACUAUGCCACUUUGUUAUUUGGGACAUACUAUGCCAUUGGAGUAUUUGGGACAUACUAUGCCAUUGGAGUAUUUGGGACAUAUUAAUAUUAUGCCAUUGGAGUAUUGGGGACAUACUAUGCCACUUUGUUAAAAAAUAUAUAUUUGGGACAUACUAUACAGGAAGCUAAUACUACAAGAAACUGGAAUUAUCUUUUGAACUAUACUAUUGUUUCAUAACGAGGUCAUAGUGUGAACUUUGAAGGAUCCAAGUAUGCUAAUUUCCUGCACAUUCGUCAUAUAGAAUUAGCAUCAGCUUCUACAUUACUCUGAAUGCAAAAAUAUCUGCAAUUCUGCAUGUACAGUCAAGAUAAAAGAGCUAAACUCAUCCCACUUCUACAAUUUCGCAUUGUGGCAGGUGGCUGCGGUGCAUGCGUGGUCCUCAUCUCCAAGUACGACCCGGCAACAGAGGAGGUGACCGAGUUCUCUGCUAGCUCCUGCCUGACGCUGCUCCACAGCGUGGACCGUUGCUCGGUGACCACCAGUGAGGGGAUCGGCAACACCAGGGAUGGCUACCAUCCCGUGCAGCAGCGCCUCUCCGGCUUCCACGCCUCGCAGUGUGGCUUCUGCACACCCGGCAUGUGCAUGUCCAUCUUCUCCGCGCUUGUCAAGGCUGACAAGAAGUCUGAUCGCCCAGCCCCUCCCGCUGGCUUCUCCAAGAUCACUUCCUCGGAGGCAGAGAAGGCUGUCUCAGGCAACCUUUGCCGCUGCACUGGGUACAGACCCAUUGUUGACGCUUGCAAAAGCUUUGCCUCUGAUGUUGACCUCGAGGAUCUGGGCCUCAAUUGCUUCUGGAAGAAGGGUGACGAACCUGCAGAAGUCAGCAAGCUGCCGGGCUACAACAGUGGCGCCAUUUGCACAUUUCCAGAGUUUCUCAAAUCUGAGAUCAAGUCUACACUGAAGCAGGAUAAUGAUGUUCCUAUUGCAGUCUCCGACGACGGCUGGUACCAUCCUAAGAGCAUUGAAGAGCUUCACAGGUUGUUUGAUUCCAACUGGUUUGAUGAAAAUUCUGUCAAGAUUGUGGCUUCAAACACUGGGUCUGGAGUGUACAAGGAUCAGGACCUCUAUGACAAGUACAUUGACAUCAAAGGAAUCCCAGAGCUUUCAGUCAUCAACAGAAGCAGCAAAGGAAUUGAGCUUGGAUCAGUUGUGUCCAUCUCUAAAGCUAUUGAGGUGCUGUCUGAUGGAAAUCUGGUCUUCAGAAAGAUUGCUGAUCACCUGAACAAAGUGGCUUCAUCGUUUGUUCGGAACACUGCAACCAUAGGUGGAAACAUAAUGAUGGCGCAAAGGUUGCCAUUUGAAUCGGACAUUGCAACCGUGCUCCUAGCUGCACGUUCGACAGUCACAAUCCAGGUGGCUUCCAAAAGGCUGUCCAUCACUUUGGAGGAGUUCUUGGAGCAACCUCCAUGUGAUUCUAGGACCCUGCUAUUGAGUAUAUUCAUUCCACAUUGGGGUUCAGAUGAUGUCGCCUUUGAGACUUUCCGAGCAGCACCUCGCCCAUUUGGAAAUGCUGUCUCAUAUGUAAACUCCGCUUUCUUAGCAAGGACAUCAGGCAGUCAUCUAAUUGAGGAUAUAUGCCUGGCAUUUGGUGCCUACGGAGUCGACCAUGCCCUCAGAGCUAAGAAGGUUGAGGAUUUCUUGAAGGGAAAAUCACUGAGCUCAUUUGUGAUACUUGAAGCAAUUCAGCUACUCAAAGAUACCGUUUCACCAUCAGAAGACACUACACAUCGUGAAUAUAGGAUCAGCUUGGCUGUCAGUUUCUUGUUCAAUUUCCUAUCUGCCCUUGCCAACAGUUUGAAUGCACCAUCAAAUAUUGAUACUCCCACCGGGUCAUAUAUUAAUGGAACUACAAAUGGUAGCACCGUGGACUCACCUGAGAAGCAUCUUAAGGUUGACAGCAAUGAUUUGCCAAUACGUUCAAGACAAGAAAUGGUUUCUAGCGAUGAGUACAAGCCUGUUGGCAAGCCAAUCAAAAAAGUCGGAGCAGAGAUCCAAGCUUCAGGUAUAUACUCUUAUACUGACGCAUAAACUGAUUCAGCUUGAACUUCCAAACAUGUUCCACUGUGGUGAACCUCUUUUCUUCUGUAUACUCCACAAAAUAAUCAUCUCAGGGCUCUUUUUUUUUGUCUUUAGUACAAUAGUUUGGUCAGUGCAUAACCAUCUGAUAAGCUUCCAUCCUAGCAUGCUCUACUGAUUGUAUUUCCACUCUUAAAAAACACACUAAAUCAUAUUCAUUUUUCUUAUACAGGGGAGGCUGUGUAUGUUGAUGAUAUCCCUGCUCCCAAGGAUUGCCUCUAUGGAGCAUUUAUCUACAGCACGCAUCCUCAUGCUCAUGUGAAAAGUAUCAACUUCAAAUCACCCUUGGCUUCACAGAAGGUCAUCACAGUUAUAACUGCAAAGGAUAUUCCAAGCGGUGGAGAAAAUGUUGGAAGCACCUUCCUGACGGUGCUAGGAGAUGAUGAACCACUAUUUGCAAAUCCAAUCGCUGAAUUUGCUGGUCAAAAUAUUGGUGUUGUGGUAAUUUUCUUUAGUAUUAUUUCAGAUUACACAAAAAUAGAAAUAUGUUUUUAUUUUACCAGGCAAGCUUACCGUGUCUUGUUGCUUUUCAAUUCACUCAGAUUGCUGAAACACAAAAGUAUGCUAAUAUGGCUGCAAAGCAAGCUGUUGUUGAGUAUAGCACAGAAAAUCUGCAGCCACCAAUUCUGACAAUAGAAGAUGCCAUCCAAAGAAACAGCUACUUCCAAACUCCCCCAUUUUUUGCUCCAAAACCAGUUGGUGACUACCACAAUGGGAUGUCUGAAGCUGACCACAAGAUUCUAUCAGCAGAGGUACAGAACACUAUAUAUAUAUAUAUAUAUAUAUAUAUAUAUAUAUAUAUAUAUAUAUAUAUAUAUAUAUCACACACUCUGAAUUUCCAGCAAGGCCAAACACUCACGCCUAGUAUUUUUGUGCCCACAGGUAAAACUUGAAUCCCAGUACUACUUCUACAUGGAAACUCAAGCAGCACUAGCAAUUCCUGAUGAAGAUAACUGCAUAACAAUCUAUUCCUCGACACAAAUGCCCGAGCUCGCACAAAGUUUGAUAGCAAGGUGCCUUGGCAUUCCAUUUCACAAUGUCCGCGUCAUCAGCAGAAGAGUAGGAGGAGGCUUUGGUGGAAAGGCAAUGAAAGCAACACAUGUAAGUCUUGCCUAUAACUAGAGCUUUUAUUCACUCAAUAUUUUGCAAUUUCAACUGAUUGUAUUGUCAAUUGAACUUCAUGAUUUUACCAAAAAAACUGUCGAGAUGCAAAUGUGUUAGAGAUGACCAUGAUUUUUUUCUCCUCUUUGUCAGACCGCAUGUGCAUGUGCCCUUGCUGCCUUCAAGCUGCGGCGUCCAGUUAGGAUGUACCUCGAUCGCAAGACGGACAUGAUAAUGGCUGGAGGGAGACAUCCAAUGAAGGCGAAGUACUCUGUUGGGUUCAAGUCAGAUGGCAAGAUCACAGCCUUGCACCUUGAUCUUGGAAUCAAUGCUGGAAUAUCAGCAGAGGUGAGUCCAGCAUUGCCACGUGCUAUCAUAGGAGCUCUCAAAAAGUACAACUGGGGCACUCUUGAAUUUGACACCAAGGUCUGCAAGACAAAUGUCUCAUCAAAGUCAGCAAUGCGAGCUCCUGGAGAUGUGCAGGGCUCUUUCAUCGCUGAAGCCAUCAUCGAGCAUGUUGCCUCGGUGCUCGCACUGGACACUAACACCGUCAGGAGGAAGAACCUUCAUGAUUUCGAAAGCCUUCAAGUUUUCUUUGGAGAAAGUGCAGGUGAAGCUUCUACAUACAGCCUGGUUUCCAUGUUUGAUAAGCUGGCCUUGUCUCCAGAAUACAAGCACAGGACUGCAAUGAUUGAGCAAUUUAAUAGCAGCAAUAAAUGGAAGAAACGCGGCAUUUCUUGUGUGCCAGCCACUUAUGAGGUUAAUCUUCGACCAACUCCAGCUAGGGUAUCGAUCAUGAAUGAUGGUUCCAUCGCCGUCGAGGUUGGAGGAAUUGAGAUAGGCCAAGGAUUGUGGACUAAAGUGAAGCAGAUGACAGUGUUCGGAUUGGGACAGUUGUGCCCUGAUGGUGGCGAAUGCCUUCUGGACAAGGUUCGAGUUAUCCAGGCAGACACAUUAAGCCUGAUUCAAGGAGGUUGGACUGCUGGGAGCACCACUUCUGAAACUAGCUGUGAAGCAGUUCGGCAAUCAUGUGUUGUACUCGUUGAGAGGCUGAAGCCUAUCAAGGAGAGUCUCGAAGCUCAGUCUAACACAGUGGAAUGGAGUGCCUUGAUUGCUCAGGUGAGGAUAACACUAAAUUCUAACUUUGUUGGUAACAUGUCCCUUAAUUUGAUUGAAAGAGGUACCAAGAAUUACAGUUACUUAAAUCCUUUGCCUCCCUUCAUUCCAUCAUUAAUCAAUCAGUAGCAAUGUCAAAUAAGUCUAAGGAACUGGAACUCGAUAUCAAGCAGUUUAAAUUGUUCAUGACAUUUGUUCCUCAUCUACAGGCAAGCAUGGCGAGUGUGAACUUAUCAGCACAGGCAUACUGGACUCCUGAUCCAUCUUUCACAAGCUACAUGAACUAUGGAGCUGGCACCAGUGAGGUAUUCUGACAAUGCAACUGCAAUUACCAAAGCCAAUUGUUGUAGGUUGCAGCUCCAGUUCUUCUAAAGCUGGCAUUUCAUUGGAAACUUGCAAAUGAACAUGCAGGUGGAAGUUGAUGUCCUGACAGGAGCAACCACCAUUCUGCGAAGCGACCUGGUGUACGACUGCGGGCAAAGCCUAAACCCUGCUGUGGACUUGGGCCAGGUUAGUUACCAAAUGAACACAACUCAUGUAGACCAUUGUCUCAAUGAAAAUGUGCUCCUCCUCUGAACAUUGUUCAUCAUUCAAUCAGAUCGAAGGCUGCUUUGUCCAAGGAAUAGGGUUCUUCACGAACGAGGACUACAAGACAAACUCCGACGGCUUGGUCAUCCACGACAGCACAUGGACUUACAAGAUCCCCACGGUGGAUAAUAUCCCCAAAGAGUUCAAUGUUCAGAUGUUUAAUAGCGCCCGUGACAAGAAGCGUGUCCUGUCUUCAAAAGGCAAGCAUCUCCUCACAAUGUUUCAUCCCCUCUCAACAUUCAUGCAGACAUUGUUGUCAACUUCUGAUAACUGCUUAUGAAAUAAAUAAAUAAAUCUGACAUACCGCGGACUUGUUUGCAGCUUCGGGUGAGCCGCCGCUUCUUCUCGCGUCCUCGGUGCACUGCGCGAUGAGGGAGGCCAUCAGGGCGGCGAGGAAGGAGUUCUCGGUCAGCACCGGCC